GGGGGAUUAGCUCAAUUGGUAGAGCACCUGCUUUGCAAGCAGGGGGUCGUCGGUUCGAUUCCGUCAUCCUCCACCA
This 76-nucleotide transfer RNA is filed under the name Bacteroidales bacterium. RNAcentral describes it as "tRNA-Ala". It matches the Rfam family "tRNA". Rfam says of the family: Transfer RNA (tRNA) molecules are approximately 80 nucleotides in length. Their secondary structure includes four short double-helical elements and three loops (D, anti-codon, and T loops). RNAcentral also lists the same sequence under 4 other names. Lineage: Bacteria; Pseudomonadati; Bacteroidota; Bacteroidia; Bacteroidales. The record is from RNAcentral.